CAUCACUGUUGGACUGAAACCAGAUCGUGAGACAGAGGGAGUUCAGGAGAAGUAUGAUGAUGUCAUGAGUGUCAGUGAAGAUGUGACAAACCUGUUGGAUUAUGAUGAUGUGGAGG
Molecule: long non-coding RNA, 116 nt
Organism: Cyprinus carpio (common carp)
Lineage: Eukaryota; Metazoa; Chordata; Actinopteri; Cypriniformes; Cyprinidae
Exons: 3
Source: RefSeq, a predicted model, not a curated record